This 944-nucleotide long non-coding RNA is filed under the name Danio rerio (zebrafish). RNAcentral's name for it is "lncRNA si:ch73-234i15.7 (ENSDARG00000103059.2)". Lineage: Eukaryota; Metazoa; Chordata; Actinopteri; Cypriniformes; Danionidae. The record is from RNAcentral.
GUACUCUUAUUCAGUGCUUGGGUUUUAUAUGGGGUGUUUAAUGAAUAAAAGGUUUACAACCUGUGAAAUUAUGAACCCUUAUUGUAUACUGUAUGUAUUUUAAAUCUGCAAUUCAAUAUAAAAUAUAUUUCCAUACACUACUUACCUUAUGUUUACUCGUCGAUCUCACCAAAGCCAUCAAUGUCCCCAUAACUCACUAUCAACAAAUAACUUUGCAUGACAUAGUCCUACCGUCAGGGUUCAAUGCAGAUUAAAACAGGCUCGCAUCUUUACUGCUGUUGCACAGGGGGGCUAACUGUUGCAUUUCAGUAAAUGUAUAGCUGAUACUUUAUAGAAAAAUCUAGUAAUUUGGUCUUUAAUCAAUAAAAACUGCUGCUGUAGUUUACUCUGUUCUAGUGUUCAAGUAUAUACUAGUAUGUUAAAGUUCAGCUUCUUCCCUCUUUGUUCCCUGUAGUUAAAGGGUAAAUACAGUAUUUGUUCCCUCCUUGUUCCCUGUACUUACAGGGGUAAAUACUACAUUUGAGGGUUGUAAAUUAAAGUGAAGCUUUGUUCCUCCCUUGUUCCCUGUACUUACAGGGUAAAUACCACAUUUGAGGGUUGUAAAUUAAAGUGAAGCUUUGUUCCUCUCUUGUUACCUCCUUGUUCCCUGUACUUACAGGGUAAAUACCACAUUUGAGGGUUGUAAAUUAAAGUGAAGCUUUGUUCCUCUCUUGUUACCUCCUUGUUCCCUGUACUUACAGGGGUAAAUACCACAUUUGAGGGUUGUAAAUUAAAGUGAAGCUUUGUUCCUCUCUUGUUACCUCCUUGUUCCCUGUACUUACAGGGUAAAUACUACAUUUGAGGGUUGUAAAUUAAAGUGAAGCUUUGUUCCUCCCUUGUUCCCUGUACUUACAGGGUAAAUACCACAUUUGAGGGUUGUAAAUUAAAGUGAAGCUUUGUUCCUC